Long non-coding RNA from Mauremys reevesii (Reeves's turtle), 202 nucleotides. RefSeq lists it as uncharacterized. Lineage: Eukaryota; Metazoa; Chordata; Testudines; Geoemydidae. The transcript has 3 exons. The record is from RefSeq and is a predicted model, not a curated record.
GACUGCCAGCUCUCUGGGGGCAGGAACCAAGGAACAGAUCAUCAGCUGAGGACUGGUAUGUGGAAAGCAGGCCAGAGGAAAACAACAACAGAUCACAGUGUGGUUUGAGUAUAGUAUUCUGCUGACGACUAAAAGGAUAUUGUAAACCCUUAAUCUAAUGUGUAUGGUUCUUGCUAAAAGAAACAUGAUUCUCUUGCAUAUG